This 497-nucleotide ribosomal RNA is filed under the name uncultured bacterium. RNAcentral describes it as "partial 16S ribosomal RNA". It matches the Rfam family "Bacterial small subunit ribosomal RNA", at positions 28 to 507 of the family's 1533-position model. The record is from RNAcentral.
GAUGAACGCUGGCGGCGUGCCUAAUACAUGCAAGUCGAGCGAACAGACGAGGAGCUUGCUCCUUCGACGUUAGCGGCGGACGGGUGAGUAACACGUAGGUAACCUACCUAUAAGACUGGGAUAACUUCGGGAAACCGGAGCUAAUACCGGAUAAUAUUUCGAACCGCAUGGUUCGAUAGUGAAAGAUGGCUUUGCUAUCACUUAUAGAUGGACCUGCGCCGUAUUAGCUAGUUGGUAAGGUAACGGCUUACCAAGGCAACGAUACGUAGCCGACCUGAGAGGGUGAUCGGCCACACUGGAACUGAGGCACGGUCCAGACUCCUACGGGAGGCAGCAGUAGGGAAUCUUCCGCAAUGGGCGAAAGCCUGACGGAGCAACGCCGCGUGAGUGAUGAAGGACUUCGGAUCGUAAAACUCUGUUAUUAGGGAAGAACAAACGUGUAAGUAACUGUGCACGUCUUGACGGUACCUAAUCAGAAAGCCACGGCUAACUACGUG